GCAAGUCGAGCGCUCUCUUCGGAGGGAGCGGCGGACGGGUGAGUAACGCGUGGGAAUAUGCCCUUCUCUACGGAAUAGCCUCGGGAAACUGAGAGUAAUACCGUAUACGCCCUUCGGGGGAAAGAUUUAUCGGAGAGGGAUUAGCCCGCGUUGGAUUAGGUAGUUGGUGAGGUAACGGCUCACCAAGCCGACGAUCCAUAGCUGGUUUGAGAGGAUGAUC
This 220-nucleotide ribosomal RNA is filed under the name uncultured bacterium. RNAcentral's name for it is "partial 16S ribosomal RNA". It matches the Rfam family "Bacterial small subunit ribosomal RNA", at positions 57 to 305 of the family's 1533-position model. The record is from RNAcentral.